CAGAGUUCGUGCCCUCACGGGUAGAUCUCCCACCCUGUGUUAUUGUUACCUUUGUUGCUUUGGCGGGCCGCCAGGCCCCGGCCAGGCUACCGGCCCCCCGCUGGUACGCGCCCGCCAAAGGACCCCAAACCCUGAACGUUAGUGUCGUCUGAGUACUAUACAAUAGUUA
RNAcentral lists this unclassified non-coding RNA (169 nucleotides) under uncultured Leptodontidium. RNAcentral describes it as "sequence contains ITS1". Lineage: Eukaryota; Fungi; Ascomycota. The record is from RNAcentral.